AGUGAACGCUGGCGGUAGGCCUAACACAUGCAAGUCGAACGGCAGCACAGUAAGAGCUUGCUCUUACGGGUGGCGAGUGGCGGACGGGUGAGGAAUACAUCGGAAUCUACUUUUUCGUGGGGGACAACGUAGGGAAACUUACGCUACUACCGCAUACGACCUACGGGUGAAAGCAGGGGAUCUUCGGACCUUGCGCGAUUGAAUGAGCCGAUGUCGGAUUAGCUAGUUGGCGGGGUAAAGGCCCACCAAGGCGACGAUCCGUAGCUGGUCUGAGAGGAUGAUCAGCCACACUGGAACUGAGACACGGUCCAGACUCCUACGGGAGGCAGCAGUGGGGAAUAUUGGACAAUGGGCGCAAGCCUGAUCCAGCCAUACCGCGUGGGUGAAGAAGGCCUUCGGGUUGUAAAGCCCUUUUGUUGGGAAAGAAAAGCAGCAGGUUAAUACCCCGCUGUUCUGACGGUACCCAAAGAAUAAGCACCGGCUAACUUCGUG
RNAcentral lists this ribosomal RNA (492 nucleotides) under uncultured bacterium. RNAcentral describes it as "partial 16S ribosomal RNA". It matches the Rfam family "Bacterial small subunit ribosomal RNA", at positions 29 to 507 of the family's 1533-position model. The record is from RNAcentral.